RNAcentral lists this transfer RNA (70 nucleotides) under Brachyplatys subaeneus. RNAcentral's name for it is "tRNA-Phe". Lineage: Eukaryota; Metazoa; Arthropoda; Insecta; Hemiptera; Plataspidae. The record is from RNAcentral.
AUUUAAGUAGCUUAAUAUAAAUUAAAGUAUAAUAUUGAAGAUAUUAGGAUGGGUUUUACCCCCUUAAGUA